GGAUAAGGGUAGAUGGCGAUGCAUGAAGCAAUCGACUUACAAGGUUGAUGGUGAUGCAUAAAGCAAUCGACUUACAAGGUUGAUGGAGAUGCAUAAAGCAAUCGACUUACAAGGUAAAUGGAUGAAUACAUGAUGGUUCUGUUAAGUUUUGAAAAAUGAUUACUCGACGUUGAAUCGAGGUUUUGAUCUUGUUAUGAAAUGGUUAUCGGAUGUUCAUUUUAUUUCUUGUAUUAACAGAUGAAUGAAGAAUGAGA
Molecule: long non-coding RNA, 254 nt
Filed under: Lathyrus oleraceus (garden pea)
Lineage: Eukaryota; Viridiplantae; Streptophyta; Magnoliopsida; Fabales; Fabaceae
Description: Pisum sativum (pea) long non-coding RNA (PSAT_LNC028689)
Source: RNAcentral